CGUUGGGCCAGGCUGGGAAGCAGUGCUGUCUUUUGGCACCGUCUGAUCCGGGCUGAGGGAUUGAAGGCGGUGGUCGCUAAGCUAGGUCUAAGACGGACAGCCAGGGCGACAACCAGUCUCUCGCUACGUGUCCCCAGCUUCCCUGUUUCCGAGCGCCUCUCAAGGCGCACGCUCUGGACUUGUUCAGAUGGGGGAAGGGAACUGGUCUGGAACUCCCCACUAUUCCCGAGGUUCCCACGCCUCCAGAUCCGGAGAGGCCGUUUCGCUCCAGUGGCCUGGCCCCCCUGCCCCCUCAGCCUAGCCGUUCUUGAUCGUAAGUGCUAAAAGGAACAAAGAAGGAGAAUUCAAGAAUCCACACAUAAGCCCAAACCCUGACAGGAGCCUUUUCCUCUCCCAUCUCCUGCCUACGCUUCCUCCUAGUAGCUUUUUAACUGCUGGCGGUUAAGUUACUUUGACUGGUUUGAAUUAAACGCAAAAUAGGUUUAGGCUGAGAAAUGGGCCAGACCCUUGGCGAUCUGAGAAAGAAAGACUGAGUCCGGAUGUCAAGAGGCCUGGGCCUCACGAGGGAGUUUGUCUGCUUAUUUGAACACCUCAGAGUUGAAGAUCUUGUUACUGCUAUUUCUGUGCUGGUGAAUCAGUACAGACCUUGAUGCCAAGGUACAUAGUGUCAGAACUGAAUUGGAGGACACCCAGCUGGUGUAUACUGCUUCAUGUCGGGGAGAAAAACCCCCACACCUUUGGUCACAGAAGGCUUCUGUGUUGAUGUUCGUUGUGAUGAUGUGAGAGCAGAGGAAAAAGAUUAAACCAUCCCUUUACUACCAGAAGAGGAGAAAGAGAGGCUUAAGCCAGGCUUUGCCCUAGAUGUAUCCUAUAAUAUAGCUGAAGCUUCCCAGUCCUGCUGCUAUGACCUACAGUCAAUGAAAGCCCCAGAGGUCAUAGUU
RNAcentral lists this long non-coding RNA (941 nucleotides) under Homo sapiens (human). Its description in RNAcentral is "HSALNT0380504". The record is from RNAcentral. Lineage: Eukaryota; Metazoa; Chordata; Mammalia; Primates; Hominidae.